RNAcentral lists this microRNA precursor (59 nucleotides) under Ictalurus punctatus (channel catfish). RNAcentral's name for it is "microRNA ipu-mir-200a precursor". Its record names the gene ipu-mir-200a. It matches the Rfam family "mir-8/mir-141/mir-200 microRNA precursor family", at positions 6 to 67 of the family's 72-position model. Rfam says of the family: The bounds of the precursors are predicted based on conservation and base pairing and are not generally known. The record is from miRBase by way of RNAcentral. Lineage: Eukaryota; Metazoa; Chordata; Actinopteri; Siluriformes; Ictaluridae.
CAUCUUACCGGACAGUGCUGGACUGUAUAACUGUUUUCUAACACUGUCUGGUAACGAUG